This 254-nucleotide ribosomal RNA is filed under the name uncultured bacterium. RNAcentral describes it as "partial 16S ribosomal RNA". It matches the Rfam family "Bacterial small subunit ribosomal RNA", at positions 524 to 776 of the family's 1533-position model. The record is from RNAcentral.
UACGUAGGGUCCGAGCGUUGUCCGGAUUUAUUGGGCGUAAAGAGCUCGUAGGCGGUUUCGUAAGUCGGAUGUGAAAACUCAGGGCUCAACCCGGAGACGCCAUCUGAUACUGCGAUGACUUGAGUCUGGUAGGGGAUCACGGAAUUCCUGGUGUAGCGGUGAAAUGCGCAGAUAUCAGGAGGAACACCAAUUGCGAAGGCAGCUCGCUGGGACGUUACUGACGCUGAGACGCGAAAGCGUGGGGAGCAAACAGG